ACAUAACCAUUAUAUAAUUCGGUUAUUUUUGCUAACUCUUUUCAAAUUCCGAACUAUCCAAAUUCCGGAAUUAUCUACACGAAUUACCUGACCCAAAGUCACAAGCCUAAAAUUAUACAACAAAACAUACUUAAUUACUUGUUUGAGCCUUUCUUCACUAAUAGACCCGUCACAAAAAAAAAAAAAACACAAAACCCAAGCCCAAUUUCCUUGUUGACUUCUUCUGUCGUUGACUACUUCACACAACAACUUCAUCUUCUCUUCGACAACUUCUUCGUCUUCCUCCUCCUUCCCUUUGCUUCUUUUUCUUCGACUAGUUCUUUUCUCUUCUUAUUGCAAGUUUAAUGGAGGACUCAACUCUC
This 362-nucleotide long non-coding RNA is filed under the name Capsella rubella. RNAcentral's name for it is "long non-coding RNA (CRUB_LNC004309)". The record is from RNAcentral. Lineage: Eukaryota; Viridiplantae; Streptophyta; Magnoliopsida; Brassicales; Brassicaceae.